AUACGGAGGGUGCAAGCGUUAUCCGGAAUCAUUGGGUUUAAAGGGUCCGUAGGCGGACUAUUAAGUCAGAGGUGAAAUCCCACAGCUCAACUGUGGAACUGCCUUUGAUACUGGUAGUCUUGAGUUAUAUGGAAGUAGAUAGAAUGCGUAGUGUAGCGGUGAAAUGCAUAGAUAUUACACAGAAUACCGAUUGCGAAGGCAGUCUACUACGUAUAUACUGACGCUAAGGGACGAAAGCGUGGGGAGCGAACAGGAUUAGAAACCCUAGUAGUCC
RNAcentral lists this ribosomal RNA (274 nucleotides) under uncultured bacterium. RNAcentral's name for it is "partial 16S ribosomal RNA". It matches the Rfam family "Bacterial small subunit ribosomal RNA", at positions 523 to 796 of the family's 1533-position model. The record is from RNAcentral.